RNAcentral lists this ribosomal RNA (253 nucleotides) under uncultured bacterium. RNAcentral describes it as "partial 16S ribosomal RNA". It matches the Rfam family "Bacterial small subunit ribosomal RNA", at positions 524 to 776 of the family's 1533-position model. The record is from RNAcentral.
UACAGAGGGGGCAAGCGUUAUUCGGAAUUAUUGGGCGUAAAGGGCGCGUAGGCGGCCUUGCAAGUGGCGGGGGAAAUCCCUCGGCUUAACCGGGGAACUGCGUCUGAUACUGGAUGGCUUGAGUUUGGGAGAGGGAUGCGGAAUUCCAGGUGUAGCGGUGAAAUGCGUAGAUAUCUGGAGGAACACCGGUGGCGAAGGCGGCAUCCUGGACCAACACUGACGCUGAGGAGCGAAAGCCAGGGGAGCAAACGGG